Molecule: long non-coding RNA, 1289 nt
Organism: Thalassophryne amazonica
Lineage: Eukaryota; Metazoa; Chordata; Actinopteri; Batrachoidiformes; Batrachoididae
Exons: 2
Source: RefSeq, a predicted model, not a curated record
AGAGGCACUUUCUGUGUCAACACUCACGUGGAUUGCAAAGACAGCAGAGAGAUGUGCGAUGUUGAUCCAAUUCACAAAUGAAAAUCGCAAAAAUUAUGAGCAGUAUGACAAUUAUAAAUCGCAGUUGUGAGUGUUGCUAUGCAGUCGAAUGUUGAGCUCCAUGUUUCCGAUACGCUGGCUGUAACUGCUAUUCACAUUUGUGUUUUGACAGUACUGUUCUUUAUUAACGCCAUUGUUAAGUUGAUAUAGUGCAUUUGUCUACUGCUGAGCUGCAUAAAGAAAACACUAACUGCAUAUGACUGCAUAUGAUUAUGCUAAUCAUUAACGAGUAACCAAAUGUGCUAACUGUGGUUAGCGUUUUCUUGAAAAUGGCCUGUCAGCAGUUGACCACAUCAUGUUGACUAUGUCUAGUUAUUAAUAGCGGUAACUGCACAUCCGAAAGCCGAGGAACUCUCAGAAAGCUUUCAUCACUGUGAUUGCAGAGCCGUCACAAAUGGAACCAAGUCAGAUUGUGAGAAAAAUCAGUUUAUGAUGCAUAGUUAUUUACUUUAAUCUUAAAUCUCAUGUAUUUUUAAUACCCCUAAAAAGUGCUUUAUGUUUAUUGCUUUAAAGUUUAAGUGUGUAAGAAACUGAUUUGUAGCUGUUAGUAAAUUGUGAGAACCCCGGAAGUAACGCUGUGGAUUUUAGUAUAUACUGAAACGGGAAUAUUCAGCUUUGAGGUUAAUGGCAGAUAUUUCCAGCAUCCUUCCUGUAGAGAAGAUGAGACAAAGAGAUUUGGAAGCCACUCCGCCCACAGAGAAGACUUAAACCCUCUGCAUCUCCAAUCAGGCUGUCAUCCUCGGUCACCGUCAGGUCUGUGCUCGCCCCAGUGAACAUUCAACGCUGUCGGCAUAUGCAGGCGGAGUCGACUGACAGUCCAGUCAUUUUGCUUCUUGCUCACACCGGCGAGGGCCGAAGGUUCCCUGUCUGCAGCGGCAGAGAAAAGAGGAAGAGAUGAUGUGCAGGAGAUGGAGAGAAAAUGUGACUUUUGAAGAAAAAUAUGGGGGUGGGGGGUAGCGUACAGCUUGCUUGGCAUCUAAGGUCCGACAAAUGGUUUUGUUUUUAUAAGUAGGGCUGCUGGAGGCAAAAACAAGAAUAUAUUUAAUGUCAGCAAAGAUGUCGCAAAAUUAUGAAUAAACUUUCUGAUGUUGCAUUUACAUGUAACCCAUUAUAUGCAUCAGCACUGUUGUGUUUUUGUCUAACUCUACCUGCAGGACAGCAGAAAAUUCUCAUGAGACAUGGAGACCAAA